This 377-nucleotide ribosomal RNA is filed under the name uncultured Nitrospinaceae bacterium. RNAcentral describes it as "bacterial SSU rRNA". It matches the Rfam family "Bacterial small subunit ribosomal RNA", at positions 521 to 896 of the family's 1533-position model. The record is from RNAcentral. Lineage: Bacteria; Pseudomonadati; Nitrospinota; Nitrospinia; Nitrospinales; Nitrospinaceae.
UAAUACGGAGGGGGCAAGCGUUGUUCGGAAUCAUUGGGCGUAAAGAGUAUGUAGGCGGCUAUUUAAGUCAGACGUGUAAGCCCACGGCUCAACCGUGGAAUUGCGUUUGAAACUAUUUAGCUUGAGUGCAGGAGAGGAAGGCGGAAUUCCCAGUGUAGCGGUGAAAUGCAUUGAUAUUGGGAAGAACACCGGUGGCGAAGGCGGCCUUCUGGUCUGACACUGACGCUGAGAUACGAAAGCCAGGGGAGCGAACGGGAUUAGAUACCCCGGUAGUCCUGGCCGUAAACGAUGGGCACUAGGUGCGGGAGGUAUUGAUCCCUUCCGUGUCGCAGCUAACGCAUUAAGUGCCCCGCCUGGGGAGUACGGUCGCAAGGCUG